GGCUCAGGAUGAACGCUGGCGGCGUGCCUAACACAUGCAAGUCGAACGAAACUGAUUCCAUGAAACUUCGGUAGAUUGGAUGAAAGUUGAGUGGCGGACGGGUGAGUAACACGUGGGCAACCUGCCUCACAGAGGGGGGAUAGCAGUUGGAAACGACUGAUAAUACCGCAUAAGCGCACGGUACCGCAUGGUACAGUGUGAAAAACUCCGGUGGUAUGGGAUGGAUCCGCGUCUGAUUAGCCAGUUGGCGGGGUAACGGCCCACCAAAGCGACGAUCAGUAGCCGGUCUGAGAGGAUGAACGGCCACAUUGGGACUGAGACACGGUCCAGACUCCUACGGGAGGCAGCAGUGGGGAAUAUUGCACAAUGGAGGAAACUCUGAUGCAGCGACGCCGCGUGAGCGAUGAAGUAUUUCGGUAUGUAAAGCUCUAUCAGCAGGGAAGAAGAAAUGACGGUACCUGACUAAGAAGCCCCGGCUAACUACGUG
Molecule: ribosomal RNA, 487 nt
Filed under: uncultured bacterium
Lineage: Bacteria
Description: bacterial SSU rRNA
Rfam family: Bacterial small subunit ribosomal RNA
Source: RNAcentral